UACGUAGGGCGCAAGCGUUGUCCGGAAUUAUUGGGCGUAAAGAGCUCGUAGGCGGUUUGUCGCGUCUGCUGUGAAAACGCGAGGCUCAACCUCGCGCCUGCAGUGGGUACGGGCAGACUGGAGUGCGGUAGGGGAGAUUGGAAUUCCUGGUGUAGCGGUGGAAUGCGCAGAUAUCAGGAGGAACACCGAUGGCGAAGGCAGAUCUCUGGGCCGUAACUGACGCUGAGGAGCGAAAGCGUGGGGAGCGAACAGG
RNAcentral lists this ribosomal RNA (253 nucleotides) under uncultured bacterium. RNAcentral's name for it is "partial 16S ribosomal RNA". It matches the Rfam family "Bacterial small subunit ribosomal RNA", at positions 524 to 776 of the family's 1533-position model. The record is from RNAcentral.